RNAcentral lists this unclassified non-coding RNA (307 nucleotides) under plant metagenome. Its description in RNAcentral is "partial contains 5.8S ribosomal RNA, internal transcribed spacer 2, and large subunit ribosomal RNA". The stretch from base 1 to 105 matches the Rfam family "5.8S ribosomal RNA", at positions 50 to 154 of the family's 154-position model. The record is from RNAcentral.
GAAAUGCGAUAAGUAAUGUGAUUUGCAGAAUUCAGUGAAUCAUCGAAUCUUUGAACGCACAUUGCGCCCGCCAGCACUCUGGCGGGCAUGCCUGUUCGAGCGUCAUUUCAACCCUCAGAACCCCUUGCGGGAUCUGGCGUUGGGGAUUGGCAUCCAGCCAGCCCCGAAAUCUAGUGGCGGUCCCUCCGCGACCUCCCCUGUGCAGUAGCGAUACCUCGCAGCGGGACAGCGGUCUGACCACGCCGUAAAACCCCCAACUUCUCAAGGUUGACCUCGAAUCAGGUAGGAAUACCCGCUGAACUUAAGC